Molecule: ribosomal RNA, 233 nt
Filed under: uncultured Actinomycetales bacterium
Lineage: Bacteria; Bacillati; Actinomycetota; Actinomycetes; Actinomycetales
Description: partial 16S ribosomal RNA
Rfam family: Bacterial small subunit ribosomal RNA
Source: RNAcentral
UGGCGAACGGGUGAGUAACACGUGGGUGAUCUGCCCUGCACUCUGGGAUAAGCCUGGGAAACUGGGUCUAAUACCGGAUAGGACCAUGCUUUAGUGUGUGUGGUGAAAGUUUUUUCGGUGUAGGAUGAGCCCGCGGCCUAUCAGCUUGUUGGUGGGUAAUGGCCUACCAAGGCGGCGACGGGUAGCCGGACUGAGAGGUUGGUCGGCCACAUUGGGACUGAGAUACGGCCCAG